UUAACUCAAAUUUCUAUGAAGUUGGAACGUUUGCCUACGUUUGCCGCUAGGGGCGCUGUUCCAACUGUAUACAAAUUACAGUUA
Bombyx mori (domestic silkworm) is the source of this 84-nucleotide non-coding RNA. Lineage: Eukaryota; Metazoa; Arthropoda; Insecta; Lepidoptera; Bombycidae. The record is from Rfam.